GCGGGGGUUACCUUGAUAGCGUAGGGAGGCUCCUCGAAAGUGACCAGCAUGUACCUGUCUCCUCUGCUGGCCGGGUCCCGGGCUCGGAGCUGCGGCGCGGGGGACAAAGCAGAGGAGCCGGUACCUUCAUGAAAGUCUCUACAGCGCCUUUGGCUACGUCCAGAUAGGUGGUGCCCAGAUGGGUGCGCUGGUUCAUGGAGGCGGACGUGUCUAUCAGGAAGACUGAUGUGCUCCCACAGCCACUGCUCUAGAAGGUAUGAAGCCACUGUGCUCCUUCCUUCUCUCAAGAUAAAAUUGGCAGUGGCCUGGUUUGAUUCAUCUUGCUCUCCCAGGCAAGAUUUCUGUUGUUAGGCAAGAGCUUUGGGCUUUUUUUUUUUUUUUUUUUUUUUUUUUUUUCAGACUAAUGAAAGAUUAGCAUUUAGUUUCUAGGAAGAGAGAGGGUUAGAGUCAUAUUUCCAUUACAGAUUGGUAUGCUUGCUUAUGCCUGCGAGCAGCUUCUUUUGGCUUUCCUGUCAGGGCAGCAUCUGUGACCUGUGCCAUCCCUUCUCAGGCCUUGGGGUGAAGUCAGGGGCGCUUCCCUUUCAUCCCCGUUCCCCAUUCAAGGCCGUUCAGGAAUCUCCAAUCUCGAGGAUCCUGUGAGAGCUGGGAGGGAAAUUGCGGGAGUCAGUGCAGGCUGAAAUACGGCGACUGGGUUUCUUUGGAAGCAACAUUUUUGCUAUGAGUGUUUCUCAGAGUGGAGCCUGCUGGUGGCGGUAAGAGUGGCCAAGCCUGUGUGCACCCAGCGGCACUCGAGCCGCUUGCAUCUUGCCAACAGUCCAGUGCUAGUGCCACACCAGUGGCGCUGCCUCUCGUGACCAGCAGCAAGGCUGUGCUGCUCCAGGUUCUUGCUGGUUAAUCUGAAGCCCUGCCGUCAGAGGCAGCAAACCAGCAGGUGCUGCAGAGGCCACAGACUGUCCUGGAAUCCAGCUGCAUGCCAGCCCCCGUUACACAGUGCAGCGUUCGGACUGUCAGAGGGGCUUGGUUCGCAGUCGUUUUGUCUCUACAGAGGUGUUUUGGGACACCUUUCUGCCCUUCAGAUCCCCGCGGAAAGUUGCAGCUCCUACGGUCAGCAAGGCUUGCUGCUGCUAGGGUAGUAACUGUCUCCCUGAGGUGGUGGGGUUCAAGUUGUUAUGUAAAGGCCGCGGGGCUGCUUUAACAACUCGUGCCUUGGGAUUCGUAACUUCGUUGGGGAGUAAUGUUGAGAGAGUGUAUGCCGUCGGCUGCUAAUUGGCUUCCUUUUAAAUCUCUGAGAUAGGCACAUUCUUCAGACAUGCUAUCUUUUCUGUUUGCCUGUUGCUGAUGUUUCAUUGACUGUCCGAAUAAAAACAGCGUCGCCUUGACGUGUCAAGCAUCAUGUAUCUUCUUGGAGAGCAUCCUAAAAACGGGAAACUUCUGGAAUCGUUCCUUCUCCAAAGUGCUGGAAAAAAGGCAUUUUAGAGCCCUUGCCAUACCAGGAAAAUGUCAUGGUGGAAGGCAGCCUGUACUGUGGAGACUUUGCAUAAAUCCUGGAGGGUCAUUUGGAAUUUUUAAGUUUUGUUGCCAGUAAACGAAGUGAGAGGGGGGGAAAAAAAAGCCGAGUUAACUCUUAGUGGUAGCAUCGGUUAUAAACCAGCAUGAAUUCUGAACCAACUUUGAAAACUGCAAGCCGUAGGCAAGCUGCAGUUUUCUUACCAGCACAAGAGGAAGGUGGGACCGAAGCAGCUGGGCCCAUUCCACCCUUGGUCCCCUCAGCCCUGCUGACUAUUACUGGUAGAAGAAUCCCACAGACAAAAAAAAGCUACAUGCAGCUCCAAUGGGAUCUGUACAAGCCAAACCACUUUACUGCAGUUUUCUGUAUGUCCUUGCUUUUUGCUGUUACGUUGAAAGCCAUUUGGAACAUUCAGUUCUUCCUGCUGCUGUGCAUUUCUACUGGGUCCAUAUUAGAUCCCCUCCAGGUCAGAAUCGAGGCGGGGGGUGUGUUGUCUGUGGUAGGCAUUAGUACUUCUCUUCUGGGAGCCAGCCAGUUUGAUUAAUAUUGAGAACGAUUCUUUCAAAGAUAGAUAAUCAACCCAAGCCUUAAGUGUGUAGCAGCCUCUUGAUGUGAGAGUCGUAAUGGCUGGUACUGCCAUCAGAGUCACAUUUAUAAAUCCGUACGGGAGAUUUGCUGCGAAGGAACAAAACCCGGUGAUAUUAGUGCUUAUGCUCAUUACUGGUAGAGCUGACACAGCUGAGCAGGGAGAGAGCUUGAGGCUGUCACUGCAAACAUUCAUCUUUUUCUGCUUUCAGCUUUUUCAUACGGUGGGCGAAGUUGUACCCCAUGCGUAUUCUAAAUGAGCCAGUCCUACCUUUUCUCCCAAAUCCAGACGAAUGAUUUCAGCACCGUUCUGUCUGGAGGAAUACUCCUGCUGUCCAGCUGAUGCCAAAGAUUCCAGCGAAUGUCACAGAAUUUUUGUUUGGUAUUUGUCGUGCAUCCAUGAGGGAGCAUGAAUUUAUGUCUAAGAAUACUCAUAUUCUGAUCUUCAGAAUGGGCAUUGUCCAUUUGGGGACAAAUAAGACGGUAUUAAAAAUGCAAAUUUCACUUUAAAUUUGAAUGCUAAGUCAAUACAUCAAAACUCAUAUAUAAGUAUGAAAAUAUACCUGAAAAAAAAAAAAUGUAUUAAAAAAAUCAGAGAGUGUUCUUGGUAUAAUUUGCUGUUACUGUGUUUUCUCCUCAAACAUCAUCUUCUCCCAGCCAAUAUUUGUGAGAUUUUUGUUGUAUUAUCACAUAGUGUUAGCCUUAUUUUGUCCUAAACUGCAGGCUUGAAUGGAAGAUGUCAUGCUAAAGACCUUCAAGCAGGUCUGAGAGCCAAAAUUGACAGUAUAAAUAUAUGUGUAUAAAUAUGUGUGUGUGGGGUUUUUUUUUUUACUUGGUUUUCUCCUUGUUUCACAAAAAAUAUUUCAAGAUCUUGGUCAAUCCAGGUUUUAAUGACAUGAGUAUAUUUUUCAGAGCUUUCUUUAGAAUACCAUUCCAUAGUCUUGUAGUUUGUCACCAUUAAGCAUUUUUCCCUGUUUAAAAGUGUUAUAUUUUCCAUUGCUUAAUGUUAUGUUACUGCUUAUCA
Tyto alba (common barn owl) is the source of this 3116-nucleotide long non-coding RNA. RefSeq lists it as uncharacterized. The transcript is spliced from 3 exons. Lineage: Eukaryota; Metazoa; Chordata; Aves; Strigiformes; Tytonidae. The record is from RefSeq and is a predicted model, not a curated record.